Molecule: ribosomal RNA, 741 nt
Filed under: uncultured bacterium
Lineage: Bacteria
Description: bacterial SSU rRNA
Rfam family: Bacterial small subunit ribosomal RNA
Source: RNAcentral
AUCCUGGCUCAGAUUGAACGCUGGCGGCAUGCUUUACACAUGCAAGUCGAACGGCAGCGGGGGCUUCGGCCUGCCGGCGAGUGGCGAACGGGUGAGUAAUGCAUCGGAACGUGCCCAUGUCGUGGGGGAUAACGUAUCGAAAGGUACGCUAAUACCGCAUACGUCCUGAGGGAGAAAGCGGGGGACCGUAAGGCCUCGCGCGAUUGGAGCGGCCGAUGUCGGAUUAGCUAGUUGGUGAGGUAAAGGCUCACCAAGGCGACGAUCCGUAGCGGGUCUGAGAGGAUGAUCCGCCACACUGGGACUGAGACACGGCCCAGACUCCUACGGGAGGCAGCAGUGGGGAAUUUUGGACAAUGGGCGCAAGCCUGAUCCAGCCAUGCCGCGUGAGUGAAGAAGGCCUUCGGGUUGUAAAGCUCUUUCGGCCGGGAAGAAAUCGUGUUCUCUAACAUAGGACAUGGAUGACGGUACCGGACUAAGAAGCACCGGCUAACUACGUGCCAGCAGCCGCGGUAAUACGUAGGGUGCGAGCGUUAAUCGGAAUUACUGGGCGUAAAGCGUGCGCAGGCGGUUUUGUAAGACAGAUGUGAAAUCCCCGGGCUUAACCUGGGAACUGCGUUUGUGACUGCAAGGCUGGAGUACGGCAGAGGGGGGUGGAAUUCCACGUGUAGCAGUGAAAUGCGUAGAGAUGUGGAGGAACACCGAUGGCGAAGGCAGCCCCCUGGGCCUGUACUACGCUCUGCC